GACGAACGCUGGCGGCGUGCUUAACACAUGCAAGUCGAACGGUAAGGCCCCUUCGGGGGUACACGAGUGGCGAACGGGUGAGUAACACGUGAGCAACCUGCCCUUGACUUUGGGAUACCAGCUGGAAACAGCUGCUAAUACCGGAUAUGACCUCUUCUCUCAUGGGUUGAGGUGGAAAGCUCCGGCGGUCAGGGAUGGGCUCGCGGCCUAUCAGCUUGUUGGUGAGGUAAUGGCUCACCAAGGCUUCGACGGGUAGCCGGCCUGAGAGGGCGACCGGCCACACUGGGACUGAGAUACGGCCCAGACUCCUACGGGAGGAAGCAGUGGGGAAGAUUGCACAAUGGGCGCAAGCCUGAUGCAGCAACGCCGCGUGCGGGAUGACGGCCUUCGGGUUGUAAACCGCUUUCAGUAGGGACGAAGCUAACGUGACGGUACCUACAGAAGAAGGACCGGCUAACUACGUG
Molecule: ribosomal RNA, 464 nt
Filed under: uncultured bacterium
Lineage: Bacteria
Description: partial 16S ribosomal RNA
Rfam family: Bacterial small subunit ribosomal RNA
Source: RNAcentral